CAUCCUUCUAACUCUAGAGCACCCACAUAUAUCACUCCCAAACUUCCACAAAAUCCUCACCUAAUAUAGCCAAUGCUCAUACUACAAAUUGAACAUGACAAAAACUCUUGCAACAGGAACUCACAUUCGUGUACAGGACGUGGAACAACUAAAAGCCAACUUUAAUUACGACUGGAGGCAAGAUGGUAUAAAAUUCCUAGGCAUAAACUUCACACCCACACCCUCCAAGCUAUACAAAGCAAACUACAUUAAACGCGAAAUCCAAAGCACACUGCAAGGCUGGAGGUGAAAGUACAUCUCAUGGGCAGGACG
Pelobates cultripes (western spadefoot toad) is the source of this 312-nucleotide non-coding RNA. Lineage: Eukaryota; Metazoa; Chordata; Amphibia; Anura; Pelobatidae. The record is from the annotation of a GenBank genome assembly.